UGACAACGGUCGUUUCGCCUUGGGAAAGAACGCAUUUUAUUUACAGGAGAAGGUCACCUAUGGUUGUGAUACUGGCUUUGUAACUCCAGAAGGACAAGAAACAGGAGUGAUACAGUGUCAAGAGAAUGGCUGGACUCCACCUCCAAAGUGUAUCAAAUCAUGUAAAACACCUCAUUUGGACAUUUUGAAUUACCACGCAAAUAGAACUAUGUUCAUGCCUGAAGAUGCAAUUGAAUAUGCAUGUUUGGAGGGAUAUCAAACUGCAGAUAAUAUGCCAACUGGUACCACAAGGUGUGGCAUAAAUGGUGAAUGGAGUCCAACGCCCCAGUGUCUUGCAAUAGAAUGUGAGAUGCUGACGUUGCCCAAUGGAGAUGUUUCCCCCAAGGAGCGUAAAUACCGGAAUGGAGAUGUUGUGAAAUUUACCUGUGCAAACAAUUAUGUGAGAGUGGGACCUGCCUCUACUCAGUGCUAUUACUUUGGAUGGUUUCCA
Long non-coding RNA from Pygoscelis adeliae (Adelie penguin), 490 nucleotides. RefSeq lists it as uncharacterized. NCBI's taxonomy places the organism in Eukaryota, Metazoa, Chordata, Aves, Sphenisciformes, Spheniscidae. The record is from RefSeq and is a predicted model, not a curated record. The transcript is spliced from 3 exons.